Long non-coding RNA from Acanthopagrus latus (yellowfin seabream), 295 nucleotides. RefSeq lists it as uncharacterized. The transcript is spliced from 2 exons. Lineage: Eukaryota; Metazoa; Chordata; Actinopteri; Spariformes; Sparidae. The record is from RefSeq and is a predicted model, not a curated record.
UAAGCCUGAGUCUUUUGCUCUUUGUUCUUUGAGCUGUUUUAGCAAAGACGCGGGGAAUGGUUGCAAACUUGUUUUUUUGUCUUCCUGGCAAACUGGUAGUGGCUGCUGUAGGUCACCUUAUGAGAGGAGAGGAUGAAUAAGAGGAGAUAGGGCGCGGUGGAGGACAGUGAAGAGCAUUACAGAGGAGAAACGAUGAGUGGAGACACCAGAGGAGAAAUGCAGAAAGACAAGGACAUAAAAUCAGAGAGAAUAUAUGGGAUGAAAAUAGAGGAGAAUAAAGGACAAUGGAGACAGG